GAAAGAGGGAGGCCCAGCCCAGAAAGCAGUGGGGUUUGGGAAAAAGCAGGAAAAGGGUGCAACUGUAGAGGGCUAUCAGCAAAAAGCAACUAUUUUGUCAAGCAAAGUGUGACUUUGAUUGCUUGCUACCUCUCUGCAAGACUUUUACAAACAUUUUAAAUGUUCCUCUCUAGUGAACGUCAGCAUCGAAGUGCACUAGGACAUUACAGUAGGUGACUUCGUUUGUGACCUUACCGGGCUUAAAAAGAUGACCCGAUGGGACAGUAGUGGAGAGGGUAGUAAGUUUUAAGUUCCUCGGGGUACACAUCACAGACAAACUGAAUUGGUCCACCCACACAGAAAGCGUGGUGAAGAAGGCGCAGCAGCGCCUCUUCAACCUCAGGAGACUGAAGAAAUUCGGCUUGUUACCAAAAGCACUCACAAACUUUUACAGAUGCACAAUCAAGAGCAUCCUGUCGGGCUGGAUCACCGCCUGGUACGGCAACUGCUCCGCCCACAACCGUAAGGCUUUCCAAAGGGUAGUGAGGUCUGCACAACGCAACACCGGGGGCAAACUACCUGCCCUCCAGGACACCUAAACCACCCGAUGUCACAGGAAGGCCAUAAAGAUCAUCAAGGACAACAACCACCCGAGCCACUGCCUGUUCACCCCGCUAUCAUCCAGAAGGCGAGGUCAGUACAGGUGCAUCAAAGCAGGGACAGAGAGACUGAAAAACAGCUUCUAUCUCAAGGCUAUCAGACUGUUAAUGUUCUACAGUAGAAAAUGAGGACAACACUUCAGCGAAAACACUCUGGCAAAUCGGCAAUGACAAAGGCCUUCAGCAAACCGAAGGGCCACAGCAGGGAUGGCGUCCCAGUCCCAUCACCAAGAGCACGGCUGAUCCAAAGCCUAACGUCCCAGAGUGCAGAGUUUGUGAUGGAGGAGCACAUGCAGCUCAGCACUGGACUGUAGACCCAAGAGAGACACUUUUCAGUGACACACUCAUCAUCACUAAAUCAAAGUCUUCCUCAAGCCUCAAACUGAAGGAGAGUGUGAGGCUGUGUGAGAUGUGGUUGGGUUCUUGCAUUGAAGAGGAUGAUGAGAGAACUGACCUCAAAGAACUCCUUUGUCAUUGGCUGGCCUACCACCAAUUACGUGGCACAUCACCAAAUCCAAGAAAGUGGAAUAUCCCAGCAAUCUAACCAUGAAGGUUGUUCUCAUAAAUAUUGGAACUAGUGCAAUGGUCAUGAGCAUCCCUUCAGUAUUAUCCUAAACUCCUUGAGGGAAACAGACUGCCAAGUCUCAGCAGUCACCAACAACAUCCUGACUGUAGAUGGGAGCCUCUAUCUUGAUCACCUUCUCAAAGAUGCUUCCGGCCCAAACUUCAUCCUCAGGCUAAAGGCUGAUGUGGGAGGACUUGGCCGAGCAGGUUGCAGCUCUCGUUCAACAUCUCAUUGAAAACACCCCAGCCAUUUUUGGUGAAGAUGUUGAGUGCAUUUUUACUGAGCCAAAGAAAGAACAAGGAACUGCAGAGGAUGUCAUGGUGGAGUCUUACCAGCAGGUCGACUCGUCUGAUUAUUGGGACUGAGAGAAGCAAGAAGGACUUCACUCUCCUAACAGGGAACCUUUUUCCUGCCAUUGGAGAAACUGGUCUUGAAAGAGAUUUUGGGGCUUCUGAAUGAGGUUGACUCCUUGAAAAAGCAACAUGUGACUGAGGACAGUGCUUAUAGCUGUGGGAAUCUAGACUUAAUGUCUUCCCUCUCCAGUAGGUCUAUCUGCUCCCUGAUGGGGACACAACGUUUUUGCUCAGCUCGCUGCUCCUCGCUGCUCCCAUUGUGUGUCUAAGCUCCCCCCGGUUAGGGUCCCACAGCCAGCUCUACACUCUUGUCGCCCGCCAGUCCAGCUGCGAUGCAGCAGUGAUGUGUGGCCGUGCAGACCACUCCCAACACACACACACAAAUCCCACACUUAAGGGGCUACUAAAGUGGGACAGCAGCCCCAGGGUAGGUGGCAGCAAGUCUAGGUAUGCCUUCUGGAGGUCCCCUCAUGUAGCCUCGAGGUUCUGGCACCUUUCCCAGAGGCUGGCCGUGUCCAACAGGUCCAGUUUCUCCAGCCUGUCCUCCACAGGCACCUCUCCAUCUACCUCCUCUCUGAGCUCCAAAGACAGCGCCUUCUCCUUCUGCACCGACUCUGUGUCCUCUCCCAACGAGCCCAACUCCCUCCCCUUCCUGUUCGGCAUGUCGGCACGGUUAUGCCCUCUCACUCCAGACACCACAAAGAAAUUCCCAAAAGAUUGGAGUAUGACAUUCCCAGUGGCAGUUGCUCAGGCACCCAAGGAUUUGGACGGGUAUAAUUGGUCUGAUGAGAGAAAGGGAGACUAGAAGCAUUGCCAUUCUAUUAGCAUUCAGAAUAGAGAAGACCACCAGAUGCUCACCCAAAGCCUCUGUAGUUUAAAAGGUGAGUAUAUUUAAAGCCCUGUCUCUCAACCAGACAGUGAAAGGAUUCUCUCUGAUUGGAGAGGGGAGCAGGUGCACCAGAGCCAGAAGGAUAAAGUGUUCAAGUUGUCAGAGUCAAAAGGACAGACCAAAGAAACAUCCAUUGCACACAUACAGCUGACAAAUAAAAAAAACUGUCUGUCAAGAAGGAAGGGGACGAAAGGGGACGAAAAUUACAUUUUACACCUCCUCUAACAGAAUGCUGGUGAAAAAACAGUCUGAUCAAUCUGUGGAACAGUGUGGAGUCGCUCUGGUAUCUGACACAGGGAGACCACAUCAGGAAAAUGGGGAACUGCUGGCCCAAAGUGUGCAGCUCCACAUACCCCAGACAGUGUCCUAUGGUCAAAACACUCCACUGGUCCUGCAGUCUGUCAACCAGACAAUUUGCAAAUAACAAGAAAGGAUCAAAGGCCAAAACAGAUAUUCACCUUGGUGAAGUGGUCCCUGAACAGUUGGGUGGUGGGUGCACUCCUCUCUCCCACACAUCAUCUAAAACUCAUGCCAAAACUGCAAGCACAAUCAGCCACAAGACUGCAAGCACAAUCAGCCACAAGACUGCAAGCACAAUCAGCCACAAAACCGCAUGUGCAAUCAGCCACACUAUUAGAAUAAAACUGCAAGCAACUGUCAGAAAUACUGUGAGAGAAUACUUCAACUCAAGUGACAGCCAGAAUGGCCACUUAGAUGCAAAACGGAACGAAAAAGAGCUCCUCCAGUGGCAAAAUAAAAUGUUGGAACCAACAGAAAAUGCCACAAUGCGAUCACAUGGUGAGGAGUUGCCUGAUUGUUAAUGCUCAUCAUUUGGUGUUUUGUAAUGGGCUGUCAGAAUGUAGAUCAUCCUGGGUUAUUUCACCCUCCUCUGUGUGUGUAUUUUUUGCUAAAUUAUAAAUUAAGUCAAUGAAGGAUCCCACUGGGCAUAGACAUCAGUUCAAAGUCUAAUUUUGAUUAACUUUAAGUUGAGUUGUCAUCUAAGGUGAAUUCAACAUGAAAUCAAGAAAACAUUUCACCAUGUCAUUGGAUUUAGGUUCAAAAUUAGGUUCGAAAUUAGGUUCGAAAUUAUCUUAUAUUGAUGACUUUUUGCAAAUCCAAUCAGUUUUUACACAUGGAUUCAACAUCAUCACAUUUCAUUUUUUGGUUGAAAUUAUGUGGAAACAACAUUGAUUCAACCAGUUUUUGCCCAGUUGGAUGGUGCAGAUUGAAUGCAGGCACUCAAACCACUCAGACAGAGCAUUUCCUCCAAUGGAGUAGGGAUUCAUAACCUUAAUCAUUUUCUAUACAGAAGCAUUAUGAAUAAGGACCAGACAUCUUGACAUCACUGUGAUGUAUGUGUUUCCUAAUGGGGCUGUGAUAAUCUGUCGGUGAAAAAGUAAAAACAACCAAAUUUGAGGCAAAUUAGGUAUAAGAUGCACAACUUGUAUAUGGGCAAACACAUCUUAUAUUCAGUAGUUCUUCUCGGGUGUAUGUAAAGAAACCUAAGAUGACCUGGGGUACUAGUGUAAGAAAUAACACGUAAAAAAACAAAAAACUGCAUAGUUUCCUAGGAACGCGAAGCGAGGCGGCCAUCUCUGUCGGCGCCGGAAGCGAGAUUGUAUGGUGUGCAACACAUAUUCCUGCUGUAUAGUUAACAUCUGGUUAAUAAGUAAUCACCUACUUCUCACUUUUAUUGCUAAAGAAAAAUGACCAACGUAAAUCACAUUGCAUAUAGUGAGUUAAAAUGUUUGUUUUGUUUUUGCACAGUUCAGUGCUAUUUUGCAUUUGCAAAAUGAAGCCUCAUGUAUAGAUCUCAUUUAGACGCAUUGAUAUAACGGUCUUAAACACAUAAUAACAUAUACUGUACCACUUUUACCACAUCAUUGUUUGUUUUUAUGUAUGUUUUAUCCUAGAACUGUAACUUUGAACAAUAAUCAUAUGUAGCGUUAACCUUGAUAUCAACGUGUGUGUGUGUGUGUGUGUGUGUGUGUGUGUGUGGGGGGAUUUGCACCUCUUCACCCCUGUACGAGCUUAUGUUGAUGGCACCACUGAUAAUAAAUCAAGUUAGCCCUAAACAUCUCUGAAUCUCUGAGUAUGUUUUCCCAUGCCUUCUCAGUCCCAGGGUCCUAGGCAUAAUGUUUCCUUUUAUUUCUUUAUUGAGUUUAUUUAUUGAGUUUAUUUGAGCAAGGACAAUGUACAUCAGAAGCAUUAGUCUCAGUACACUUGAGAAAAUAUGUGUUGUAUCAGAUUUAGCUAGCAGCUCAUUUCCGUCUGCAGUUCCAGGGCAGGUUAAAAUCAAAACAAGAAAACAUUAUGAAGCCAGCAGGCUGGAUGCCUUGUUACAGAGCUACAAACAAUGAUUUGUAACACUUAACUUACUAUUUCUAAUUACAGAAAUGACUUCUAAAGGCAUGCUACUUUAGGCAAUGGCCCGCUGCUGGCAGUAUUUUCUUUUUAAUGCUAUGUACCGUUAACAUGUAAUUGCUACAACUGAUUCUACAACCGAACCUACUUCAAGCUAGUUGAUUGAUAGGGCAAAGGGUAGUGAUAUGUUCCUGAGUGAUAUGUUCCUGGGGAUGUUUGAUUAUUAUUAGACUUCGUACAAUAGGUGCGAGGGGCAGCAAGUUGCAUGAAGGAUCACUGGCUGCCUUUAGAUCCCACAGCGUCCCUCAACUAUUGGGGCACGUGGACAGUCAUACCAUCCAUCCACUUCUGCACUGUCACAUGGCAACCAAGAUGGGACCUGUCAAUCAGAAGCAGAUUAAAAGGCUCAGACAUAUAGUUUCAGAAGCAGAUUAGGCUCAGACAGAUAGUUUCAGAGCAUUUACAUAGACAACUUCAGAUUUGUUUUAAACUGAAUUACUGAAUUUACUGCAACCUGUUGCUUCUACGUCAGUUCAGCAGUCAGGCCCUGUCUGGAGUAAAUCAAGAAAAUAUGUGUGUGCUUGUUUUGCUGGGGCCUUGAUCAAGUAUGUAAAUCAUAACAUUUCGACAAGCAAACACAUGUAAAUUGUUUAUGUAACCUAGUACCAUCAUCUUUGAAAUGCAAGAGAAAGGCCAUAGUGUAUUAUUCCAGCCCAGGUACAAUUUAGAUUUUAGCCACUAGAUGGUAUAGGUGUAUGUGCAAAGCUUUAAACUGAUCCAAUGAACCAUUUCAUUUCUGAUUAAAAUGUUGUAUCAAGAGUGCCCAAAUGUGCCUAAUUUGUUCAUUAGUAACUUUUCAUGUUCAAAAUUGUGCACUCUCCUCAAGCAAUAGAAUGGUAUUAUGUCAGUGUAAUAGCUACUGUAAAAUGGACAGUGCAGUUAGAUUAACA
This is a long non-coding RNA of Oncorhynchus tshawytscha (Chinook salmon), 5759 nucleotides long. The record is from Ensembl. Lineage: Eukaryota; Metazoa; Chordata; Actinopteri; Salmoniformes; Salmonidae.